Molecule: ribosomal RNA, 484 nt
Filed under: uncultured bacterium
Lineage: Bacteria
Description: partial 16S ribosomal RNA
Rfam family: Bacterial small subunit ribosomal RNA
Source: RNAcentral
AUUGAACGCUGGCGGCAGGCCUAACACAUGCAAGUCGAGCGGAUGAAGGGAGCUUGCUCCUGGAUUCAGCGGCGGACGGGUGUGUAAUGCCUAGGAAUCUGCCUGGUAGUGGGGGAUAACGUCCGGAAACGGGCGCUAAUACCGCAUACGUCCUGAGGGAGAAAGUGGGGGAUCUUCGGACCUCACGCUAUCAGAUGAGCCUAGGUCGGAUUAGCUAGUUGGUGGGGUAAAGGCCUACCAAGGCGACGAUCCGUAACUGGUCUGAGAGGAUGACCAGUCACACUGGAACUGAGACACGGUCCAGACUCCUACGGGAGGCAGCAGUGGGGAAUAUUGGACAAUGGGCGAAAGCCUGAUCCAGCCAUGCCGCGUGUGUGAAGAAGGUCUUCGGAUUGUAAAGCACUUUAAGUUGGGAGGAAGGGCAGUAAGUUAAUACCUUGCUGUUUUGACGUUACCAACAGAAUAAGCACCGGCUAACUUCGUG